UAAUACGUAGGUGGCGAGCGUUACUCGGAAUUACUAGGCGUAAAGGGCAGGUAGGCGGUUGGGCAAGUCCGUAAUGAAAUCUCCCGGCUUAACUGGGAGGGGUUUAGGGAUACUGCUUGACUCGAGUUUGGGAGAGGUAACUGGAAUUCCUGGUGUAGCGGUGAAAUGCGUAGAGAUCAGGAGGAACACCUAUGGCGAAAGCAGGUUACUGGACCAACACUGACGCUGAGCUGCGAAAGCUAGGGGAGCAAACAGGAUUAGAUACCCUGGUAGUCCUAGCCAUAAACGGUGUAGACCAGAGGUGGGGGGUAUCGACCCCCUCCGCCCCGAACCUAACGGAUUAAGUCUACCGCCUGGGGAGUACGGCCGCAAGGUUG
This 377-nucleotide ribosomal RNA is filed under the name uncultured bacterium. RNAcentral's name for it is "bacterial SSU rRNA". It matches the Rfam family "Bacterial small subunit ribosomal RNA", at positions 521 to 896 of the family's 1533-position model. The record is from RNAcentral.